GGCUUCACUGCUUUGACCUGAAAGUGCCACCAUAACAAUCGACUGUCAAUAUAUUCGCGUAUGCUGCGAACCAUGAAAAUUAAAAACGAAGUUAAUCUCAUGCCUAGGUUAUCUUCGUGUAUCAAAACAAGUACUUAAAAUGGCGACUAUUGAUCACGUCACAUUCCUAAUAUUGACGGGAAAAGUGCUUUCAGCGGUAAAAUUGGAAUCGGCGCUAUACGGUACCAUUGUAAAAACCAUGCUCCGUUUUUCCUGAAGCACCGUGUAAUGAGGCAACGUGAACUUAUUAUUAGGCAUUAACAGCCAUCCUAAUCAAGCAGCAGUCAUGGUCAGUGGUAUCAGUCCCAUUUUGUUUGGCAGGGUUAAAGACGAAUGAGGCAUUGACACUGAUAACAUGAAAAGUUCGUGCAAUAGAGAGAACAAACCAAUGAAGGAAGUCACAGUAGACGGAUUGGAGUGCCAAACAAAAUUCAGUACCAGUCAGCCAUAGAAGGGUAGAUAUAAUGGUGUACAGCAGAAACUGGCGUAACUGAAAUGAGUACGCUGACAGCCUGAUUCGAGCCUCUAGUGUGACUCUGUGAUUCGAUCUUAUUGGCAACCGAGCUACAUGAGGUGUUUCCUCAUAUGUGGAAUAACAAACUCGUAAGUGACGAGUAUGGAAUGAAAGCCUUGCCCUAAAAGGACAGGAGGUUUCGUUUUGUUGAACGAAAGGGGGCAAGCAAAGUGAUUUGACGACAAAGAUUUUAUCGAAUCAGUAUGAAUUAGUUUUCAGCUGGUCAACUCAUGGCGAGAGAAACCAUUCGAGCCUUAAGUUAAACAACAAAACUGCAGGUCAGAUACUUGCUGCCGGUCAGGCUUCACCUAUCCAACAGGAUUGCUUGAGAAACUAACUCUAUGUAAAUGUAGUAUGCAUGUGGGUAAAAGAAUAUGGCACUGUAAUAAGUAAUAUGAAGAAUAUGGUAAAAGAAUAUGGCACUGUAAGUAGGUAAAACCUAAUGCGUACCACGGACAUCACACAUGAUGUCCCUGGAGAAUACAGUCUCAUUAUGGUCUUUGAAGCGUCCCAAAAAAAAGGCUCUGAUUGACGUAUUUAAAGAAAAAAACGGCCACAGAGGGGUGAUGCGGUGGUUCGUCAAACCUACUAACUUCUUAUAUUGCAAGUUGCUCCUCGCAAAAAAGUUUGGCCUUACUGUCGUGUUAAAAUAAGUUUUUUAUUUCAGAUUGUCAUCUGAAGCUUGUUAAUAGCAUGGCUUUAAAAUGGAAAAAUAAAUCGCGUAUCACAUAUCUACUAUUAGCGAAUUAGUAACUGUGGCUCAAACAAGUCUCGCACGUCCCAG
Long non-coding RNA from Varroa destructor (honeybee mite), 1337 nucleotides. RefSeq lists it as uncharacterized. NCBI's taxonomy places the organism in Eukaryota, Metazoa, Arthropoda, Arachnida, Mesostigmata, Varroidae. The record is from RefSeq and is a predicted model, not a curated record.